Long non-coding RNA from Homo sapiens (human), 486 nucleotides. Ensembl annotates it as ZNF45 antisense RNA 1. Its record names the gene ZNF45-AS1. Lineage: Eukaryota; Metazoa; Chordata; Mammalia; Primates; Hominidae. The record is from Ensembl.
AUUCUGUAGCCUAUGCUCGGAGGGCACAUGAGCAAGAGCUUGACCAUCUGUACCGUUGGUUGACUUGCUCUAUUAAGGGCUAUGAUUUCAGGUCGUCCUGCGUGUUUAGAGGAGGCGAGUGGAAUCUUGAGUCUCGGCUGGAGAAGGCAGAGCACGGGCAUGCAGACCUCAAAGCCUCAAACCUGCGUGUGAGAGGAGAAGUUGGCGAGCUCCAGCGUAUGGUCCACGGUUGGUAUUCUAGGUGCGAGCUGAGGACAGGGGCUUUUGUUUUUCGCGCUCCCAGGUAGCGCCAGCACCUAUAGUAGCUCCAGGAGCACAGAAGGCGUUAAGUGUGCAUUGGUUUUAGAGAAAGAAUGCCUGUGCGUUUUGUGUUUUCACUCUGUGACAUUGUGAAAUUCAUUGUGUGAGAACAUGGAUGGGGUUGUAUUCCGGAUUAUGGUUUGUUUCUAAGUGUGUUACUUUGGACAUGAAAUGGUUUGUUUCAGA